GGCCCAAUAGCACAACUGGUAGUGCGCCUACUUAUAAUCGUGUCUGCGUAGAGGAUAUGCAGGAGACCCUCGUUCGAUUCGGGGUUGGGCCA
Molecule: non-coding RNA, 92 nt
Organism: Mycena polygramma
Lineage: Eukaryota; Fungi; Basidiomycota; Agaricomycetes; Agaricales; Mycenaceae
Source: the annotation of a GenBank genome assembly